This is a small RNA of 94 nucleotides. It matches the Rfam family "HNH endonuclease-associated RNA and ORF (HEARO) RNA", at positions 38 to 132 of the family's 211-position model.
CCGUAAGCCUCGGGUUGACUAGCCCAAGUCUUUUGGAGACUACGUUGGUAUGGUGAACACACCCCGGAGUAUAGCCCGAGCUCCGGGCACUGUG